This 50-nucleotide transfer RNA is filed under the name Aspidoscelis sexlineatus sexlineatus. Its description in RNAcentral is "Aspidoscelis sexlineata sexlineata partial tRNA-Met". The record is from RNAcentral. Lineage: Eukaryota; Metazoa; Chordata; Lepidosauria; Squamata; Teiidae. RNAcentral also lists the same sequence under 1 other name.
AGCUUUCGGGCCCAUACCCCGAAAAUGUUGGAUACACCCAACCUCUGCUA